UACAGAGGGUGCAAGCGUUAAUCGGAGUUACUGGGCGUAAAGGGCGCGUAGGCGGUUGUAUAAGUGAGAUGUGAAAUCCCUGGGCUUAACCUAGGAACUGCAUCUUAUACUGUAUGACUAGAGUAUUGUAGAGGGUAGUGGAAUUUCCGGUGUAGCGGUGAAAUGCGUAGAGAUCGGAAGGAACACCAGUGGCGAAGGCGGCUACCUGGACAAAUACUGACGCUGAGGCGCGAAAGCGUGGGGAUCAAACAGG
This 253-nucleotide ribosomal RNA is filed under the name uncultured bacterium. RNAcentral's name for it is "partial 16S ribosomal RNA". It matches the Rfam family "Bacterial small subunit ribosomal RNA", at positions 524 to 776 of the family's 1533-position model. The record is from RNAcentral.